GGAGCUGGAAAGGUGGAGGCGGAAGUGACUGAUCAAUUCAGGGGCGUGGGGUUCGUUUAGGUUUUGCCCUGUGUAUGACCUCGUUUGGAGCCAUGAAACCAGGGCACUGAAGAUAUUAUUUAUAUUCAGAGGCUAUGUUGGUUUGGAGAAGGAAAGGUCACCAUGUGUGAUGACUACAUCCAAAGAGAGUGAGUGGCUUGAGACAUUGGUAGUAUGUGUAUCUGAUCAUAUCAAUAUGUUAAAAUGACGUUCAAAGUAUGAUCUACCUCAGAAUAAUCUAGAUGUCUGAGGAAUAGUCUUAGUGGAUUAUCCCAAACUUGACACAUUUUUUGCAAAAUGCUAUACAAAAAGAAGAUACAUGCGAUUAUGACAAGAUUCUCCACUUGGUGUGACCAGUCUCAUACAACCCAAGGCUGUGUGUCCAAAGGCAACUGUACUGAUCUUGACAAUAAUCAAAAGGUAGCCAGGUGCAUCGG
This is a long non-coding RNA of Homo sapiens (human), 476 nucleotides long. Ensembl annotates it as ZRANB2 divergent transcript. Its record names the gene ZRANB2-DT. Lineage: Eukaryota; Metazoa; Chordata; Mammalia; Primates; Hominidae. The record is from Ensembl.